This 5871-nucleotide long non-coding RNA is filed under the name Brassica rapa (field mustard). Its description in RNAcentral is "long non-coding RNA (BRAP_LNC000384)". Lineage: Eukaryota; Viridiplantae; Streptophyta; Magnoliopsida; Brassicales; Brassicaceae. The record is from RNAcentral.
UUGGAGAAGGUGAUAUAUUACUUUUUCUAGAAGCUACCUAAAAUGAAUAUUUAUUUUUUACUAUCUGGUAAUAAAAUUAGUGUAACUAUAUUUAACAAGUUGAAAUUCAAGCAAUGUUACCACCUGAGAUUGUGGAAAUCGUUGGUAAAUCUUAUGGAUUUGGCAUUUCAGUUGAUGAAAACAACAAUUCUUCUAGACUUGAAAAAAUCGAAGCCAUGAAAGUUUGGGGUCUCAAAGAUAUUUUGUGGAAAAGAACCAAGUCCCUGCACCAGAAUUCAACUACUUCAAGGAAGAAGCAAUGCACAAAUGUGUUUAAGAUUAACGAAAGUGGCUGAUUUGAUUCUGAAUUUUCAUAUCUUAUCUAGGUUUUGGUUUUUGCGUUUUACUUCAGCUUAUGUUUUUGCUUCUUUUAAUUUGUUUUUUUAAUUUCUUUUUUGUACCCUUUUAUUUUAUCUGGCAUCUCUGAAAUGAAUAAAAAUUCUGUUUUUUAAUUAUGUUAAUUAUAAAACAAUUACUUAUAUUUCGAUUGUGCCAAUGCAGUUUUUAGCAAUCAUCAAUCAGCAUUCAUUCCCAAUCUCCUAACUAUCCAUAAUAUUACCCAUUCCUAAUCGAUUUCUAAUAGUAUAGUUUGAUUUUCGUUUCAUACCUUUUUUGUUCGUAUCAUGUCUUGCUGCUCCUCUUUUAUAUUGAAGUUUAGCCAUACAUCCUAACUGUAAAAUCCAAAUAUGUGAUUAGCAGAUUAUAUUAUAUUCAAUAUUGUUAUAUGUAGAUUACAGAAGUGCGUAACAUAUAAUCCUACAUCCAUGAAUUGCCGAGCAUAAUAUUGAAUAUUGAUAAUAUUUUAAUUUCCCAUUUAAUGGUAAAUCUAAACAGCAUCUACACCGAAUCUAAACAACAAAAAAAACGCCAUAGCUAACCUAAUACUGUCGUGUUUCCUGUAUUGUUCAUUUUUCCAUUUAACAUGGAAGAAGAAAACACUCGAUUACAUAUAACAAUGGAAGGCAACAGUAUUGAUGAUUCUGAAAAAGCUAACGCAGUGCACACACCUACUGCUAUGUCUAAACUUCAAUCAUCUUCAGGCAGGGUCUUAAGGGAUUUGACUAACUUACCUAUGAAAAAGGAUUUGGGCGGGUCUCUGAAACGCUCUACAUCUAUCCCUCCUCCACAAGAUGUUCCCUGCAAAAGUAAGAACGAUAGUCAGUGUUCAUAUUGAAACAUCAUUUGAUCUCUGUUAUUUUUUUCCUUACAGAGAAAACAAAUACAUCUAAUGUUCCAGCUACAAAGAGAAUCAAUAAUCGCAACAAAGUGUUUAGUAAGAAUAGUUAUAUCAGAUAUACUAAAUCCAGUUUGUGAGACACAUUAUAUUUAUAUUAACAACAUAUUAUUAUUUAUGAUGUUUAGCAACCAACACACAAGCUGGAAUCGAAGUGGUGUCUACUUCUGGAUAUAACUCUAAUAAAAGAAAGAGAAAUCUGAAUGCUUAUUCUGGAACUGUGAAAGUUAACACAAGGAUGGACAUAUCUAGAACCACUAUACCAUUGACCUCAAUAUUUGGAAGGAUCUUAGGAGAUCUUCAAAACUUUUCUGGGAGUAAGGUUCAAAAUGUAUAUCAGUCAGCAGCUGGUCAUAUGUCGGAUCGAACAUAUAUGCACUGCGAAAGUAAGGGUUAUGAAAAAUUUAUACUUUUGGUUGUGUAUAUAUAAAUCAUAAUUUUCUGGUAUGUAAAAGAAUUGUCAAUUUUUUGUAUGCAGAUCAGCUAAAUACAACAAAAUAUCCACCUUCAAAGAGGAACAAAUUUUACCGAGAUUUGAGAGGUAUAUGUUGCUACUUUCAGUUAAUUUUUAGUUGGUUAACUUUUACAUAAUGAUUGAAUAAUAAAUAUGUCUUAUGGAAACCAGUGAAUGAUCAAAUAGCACAGAGAAAAACAGUGUUACAAUCUGGUACUAAGCAGCGCAACAGUGUGUUAAGAAAAGAUGAUGCCAGGUCUACUCCUAAACUAAUGCAGACGGUUGUAACUGGAAAUAAUAACUCCAAAGUAACAUAUCCAUCACAUGUUGGGUAUGCUUCAAAUGAUAACAGCUUCCCUGAAGGUAUAUAUCUCCACUCAAUCAUGUAUUAUAUGAACAAACAAUUAUUAUAUUUUUUUUUGAUUGAAAUUAUAUGUUGCAGUUCCAUCUGAAGGACGAGAUGAUCAAUUUUACGACUUAAGCAGUCAAGAAAGUGAUAAACUCGUGGAUAAUUCCGAACCAGUUAAAUGUUUAUAUAGAGAUGCUGUAUCAGAGAAAGCAAACAUUGAAUCUAUGAUGUCAAGGAUUAGAAAGAUCUGCGAAAGCAAGGGGAAAACCAAAAAAAACUCCGAAUUCACAACCUAUCACAAAAACAAUUGGUGAGAGUUAUAAUAUUAUGAUUAAUAAAGAGUUAAGUAUUACUGAUAUUGAACAUCCAUGUCUAUAUAUUGUGUAGAGUAUGUUGACGAGGGUAAUCCUACUUUCAAAUGUGACUAUUGUAAUGCCAAAAUGUGGUAUGGUGAGCGCCUUGAAAGGAAGAAAAGAACAAAGAAGAAGCCAGUUUUCUCUCUUUGUUGUGGCCAGGGACAAGUUAAGUUGCCUCUUUUAAAAGAAAGCCCCUUGCUUAUACAGAGACUAUUGUUCGGGGAUGAUGACAUGAGCAAGUAUUACCAAGAAAAUAUAAGAGCAAUUAAUAUGCUCUUUGCUUUUACUUCUCUUGGUGGAAAAGUUGAUCGCUCGAUGCCAAAAGGACAUGGACCUCAACCGUUUCAACUACAUGGGGAAAACAUGCACUUGAUGGGUAGUAUGAAACCAGAUGAAGGUGAUUCUGCAAAGUUUUCACAAUUGUACAUUGUUGACAAUGAAAGAGAGGUUGAUGAUAGAGAUUCUGUUAUGAGGUAUAACCCCUAUACCUUUAUUGAAAUAGUGAUUAUUUUAAUAAAAAGGUUUUAUUUGGUGAAUUAAUUUUACAAUUUAUGUUUACAGUAAGUACAAGAAAGCUGCAGACAAGGCAAAAAAGCAUAAUUUGAGGAAGAAAAUUAUCGAGCUUAUUAUAAAUAUGCUGGACGAUGUUAAUCCCUAUGUGAAGCAAUUUCGGUCUGCAAGGGAACGUUUUGGAAGUUCAGGAGCUGCAAAGUUCCAUAUGAGGAUUGUGAACAAUCGUGAAAAAGAUGGAAGGACAUAUGAUACUCCAACUGCGUCAGAGGUAGCUGGUUUGAUCCCUGGUGACUUUAAUUUAGAGAUGGACAAGCGUGAUAUUGUUUUGCAAGAGAAACAAACAGGUUGGCUUAAGAGAAUAAGUGAGAUACAUCCGUCUUAUCUCGCACUUCAGUGUCCGCCCAUUUUUACUUAUGGCGAAGAUGGUUUCAGACUGGGAAUAAAAAAGAGAGCCACACCAGCUACAGAGAAGCUAAAGAGGGAUCACAUUAGUAUGAGACAGUGGUUUUGCUAUCGACUGUUUGAAAGAGAUGGAGAGUGUCAAACGCUGCUGCAUUCAAAAAGAUUGUUCCAGCAAUUUUUGGUUGAUGCAUUCACUACCAUUGAGACUAACAGAUUAAGUUAUUUGAGGCAAAAUCAAGUAUGUUUGAGGUCUGACGGCUAUGACUCAAUCAAGCAGGCUGAGAACCAAGGCAGAACAGAUAUGAGUCAACAAGGAAACCGAUUUAUUCUGCCAGCUUCCUUUACCGGAGGACCAAGGUACAUGAAAAAUAACUAUCUGGAUGCAAUGGCCAUUUGUAGACAUUUUGGUUUUCCAGAUCUUUUCAUCACAUUUACAUGCAAUCCAAAAUGGCCGGAGAUUACUAGAUAUUUGUCUGAACGGAAAUUGAAGUCAGAGGAUAGACCAGAAAUUGCUUGCCGAAUAUUCAAAAUGAAGUUAGAUUCUCUAAUGGAGGAUUUAACCGAUAAUGAGAUCUUGGAAAAAACUGUUGCAUGUAAGUUUUUUUUACAUCAAUCAUGUUUCAUUUUAACACUUUUAAGUAAUAUACUGAAGAUUUUAUUUAUCUUAUUAUGCAGCUAUGUAUACUGUUGAGUUCCAAAAGCGUGGUCUACCGCAUGCUCAUAUAUUGUUAUUCAUGCAUCCCAGUUCUAAAUUCCCUACGACUGACCACAUUGACAAGAUAAUUUCAGCAGAUAUUCCAGACAAAUCCAAAGAGCCAGCGCUUUAUGAAGUGGUGAAAGACACGAUGAUUCAUGGUCCUUGUGGAAUUGUUAAUCCGAAUUCACCGUGUAUGGAGAAUGGCAAGUGUUCUAAGGUGUUUCCGAAAGCGCAUGUAGACAGAACGACAGUAAACAAAGAAGGGUUCCCAGUUUAUAUGAGACGGGAUAAUGAUCGUUUUGUUGAUAAAAAUGGUUUCAAGUGCGACAACAGAUAUGUGAUACCCUGUUAUUCACAUUGCAUCGAGGGCUGAAAUAGUUUUAGAGUCUCUAAAUUCAUCAUAUCUCUGGAAACACUGCAAGGUGCUGAAACUAACAAAGAAUAUGAGGCUGCUAUCCACUGAUAUGACUACCGAAGAGUUAAGAGAAUUGGAACUGUUUUCUCAAUGGAUUUUGGAUGUGGGAGAUGGAUUAGCUGGUGAACCUAACGAUGGUGAUGCACUAAUCACUAUUCCAGAUGAGUUUCUUAUUAAAGAUUCAGAUGAUCCAAUAGCAUCAAUAAGCAAAGAAAUAUAUGGAGAUGCAACAACUCUACAACAGAACAAAGACCCCAAAUUUUUUCAAGAAAGAGCUAUUUUAUGCCCUACAAAUGAGGAUGUGAACCAGAUCAACCAGCAUAUGUUAGACGAACUUGAAGGUACCUAAAUUAUUCUAUUUUUUAAAUCGAGAGAUUUUGUAGGUUGUUUGUUAUGAUUAACUAAAUUGUUGUCUGUAUUGCAGGAGAUGAAAGAAUUUAUUUAAGCUCGGACAGCAUUGAUCCAUCUGAUACAGGAUCUUUUAAUGAUCAGGCUCUCACUCCAGAAUUUCUCAACACUAUCAAAGCAUCAGGUUUACCAAAUCAUAAUCUCCGGUUGAAGAUUGGAUGCCCUGUGAUGUUGUUGAGAAAUAUUGAUCAUGAUGGAGGACUGAUGAAUGGGACAAGGUUGCAGAUUAUAGAUAUGUAUGAAUUUUGUGUGAAGGCCAGAGUUAUUACAGGAACUCAAGUUGGGAAAAUUAUACUGCUUCCUAGAUUGUCUAUUACACCUUCAGACAAGAAGUUGCCAUUCAAGAUGAGAAGAAGGCAACUGCCAAUUGCUGUGGCCUUUGCUAUUACCAUUAAUAAAAGUCAAGGACAGUCUCUCUCAGAAGUUGGAAUAUUUCUACCUAGACCAGUUUUUUCUCACGGGCAACUCUAUGUUGCUAUAUCGAGAGUCACAUCCAAAAACGGUUUGAAAAUCUUGAUUGUUGACGAGGAUGGAAAGCCUCAGAAACAAACCAAAAAUAUUGUUUUUAAAGAGAUUUUCCAAAAUCUCUAAUUUUAGAAGUUUAAAGACUAUAUAUUGAUGUUUUUUAUGAAGAGACUUGCUUUUAUUUCACAACUUUACGUGUUUGAUUGCGCUACAAAAUAAAGAUUACUGGAACUUUAGGAAAAGUUUUGAGCAUAGAAUUACAAUUUACGUUUUACAGAGUGACCAUCUAUGGUUGUUUAUUCUUCUAUCAAAUGCCGCAUAGAAACUAUAUAAUUCUAUUAUAAUGUCUAUGUCAAUAUCGAGCAAUAGCAUCAUAGAGUACUAAUACUUAUCAUAUCUAACAUCUAAGCGUCAGAGGUGUUACUUACUUUGUGUUUUAUCCUCUGUGAACGAUCUGAGUCCAAUGUCCAUCACUACAUACUUUGUGUCAUAUCAUCCCAGCAAAGAAGUUGUAUUUGUAGCAUAUUGCGAGAUAAUUC